This is a long non-coding RNA of Orbicella faveolata, 2788 nucleotides long. Lineage: Eukaryota; Metazoa; Cnidaria; Anthozoa; Scleractinia; Merulinidae. The record is from RefSeq and is a predicted model, not a curated record.
AGAAUUUUAGAAUAGACUCUAGCAGCUUAAUAGUAUCAAUUAGACCACGAGAUGUUUUCGAAAACGCAAAUAAAUAUUAUAUUUCGUGAUUGAGAUCAGUCUAAAGCAGAGAGCCUAUGAACAAAACGUGACGGGAAACUAAUAAACCUUCAUUUACGAGAGAAUAUGCUCUUAUUUUCUUUACUACUUCAGAUAAUUUGAAUGUGACAGUUAAUUACUACAACACUGAUAAGAAUAGCCAUUAUCGUGAAAAAGCCAGUAUAGGUUUUGCUUGGAAAACAAAUCGUGCGUUGCAACGCAACGUGGCGAACAUGUAAGGUGUUGACGUGCGAUAUGCAUAUUUAUCACCCUUGUAGUUUAAGAGCUGUAAUCUUCGAGCGCUCAGUAAAUGCACCAUCCGUCACGCAAGGCAAAAUAUUGCAUGCGUCACUCGUUUGUUGUAUGUUUGACUAACAAAGAAGUUACUUCGAGUCCACAGUUGUGAAAAAUAGCGAAAUGAUAUUUCCAGAAGUUUCGACUUGGCAGAACUUUGAAAUGGCUCAGUAUUCAUAAUUCCUGAAAAGAGUUUUUCAACACUGAUACAGUAUUGGCAGUUGUUUUUGAUAUUGCGUAUUCAUUUUCGUUCUUACUUUUCUAGAUGUAAACAAUUCAACGACUGUAAAAGAUCAACUGUAACCUCUUUGAAGGCAUGUGUACAAGCAAGAGCGAACAGCCGAUUUAGAUUUCUUUACUUCUCACUUGGAACAAUCUGUUGUACUAACUGUCCUAUUGCUAUUAAACAAACUGAUUUCAAAGAUUACGCCUUAAAUUGCUCUUCGCCGAUAUUCUAUGGUCGUUUGAAGUCAAAAAAUGCUUAAGGCAUAACCAAAUUGUAAAAGCAUCAAUUCCCGCUACAAAUUUACUCAACAGGGUCACGUGAUUCUUAUUUUCCCAACAAAUGCCAAAAUUACACUUCGCGUUGUUCAUUGAGGUUAAUUAAGUCGGAAAUUCGACAAAACGCCGUCUGCUGCGGUUCUUUAAAUAUCAUGUGCCUAUUAGAGUGAACGGGAAGUACCGAAAGGUGAAAUAUUUGACUCAAAGAUGAUGGUGUGCAGAAAAAUCGACCAAAAUUGCCUUGUGGUAUUGUAGUAUUGCUAAAUAUGUCGUAUAGAAGGGAAUAAUAUCACUCGAUCAUGCGUACACAUCGCGUUACUGCGUGGUUUCAGUAAAAGACCAAUAUUUUGGUGGCCAACACGAAGGGAAACAAAACGACAGGAAAAGGAACACAUUCUGGUGAUAUUUCAAACCUCUCUUUGAUCUGAACACUGGCUUUGUUCGUUGAGUUAAUCCUUCAAGACGAGUUUGUUUCCAAAAGCCUUUAGCUUGUUUGUCCAAAAUCUCGAUACGUGUCUCAACAAGGAUUAGGAAAGAAACAGAUAUAAUAUCAGAUUAGCGAAGCGAAGAGUCGUUUAAUAAAUUAAAUUUCCUCCUCGCCAAAAUUUCUUUUCAAACCAGUUUUGAUGGGUAAUUUGAAAACAAACGUUUAUAAAUUGCCUCAGCAAAUACAAUUACUCCCUCACAGAAGAAAAUAAUGGUUUAUUUUCCUGCAUAAGCGCGUUAAAAAAUGCGUUUAGAAGUCGAAUGUCUCGUGAUAUUUUAGGAGCAUUUUCUCGUGGUUUCGAUAUGCCAGUGUUUUUGUCAUGCUGCUUACAAAACUAACAGUCUUCUAUUUGGCUUAUAAUUUAUUAAGAAUGUAAGUACAGAAACGUUGAUACUUCCCCGUAGUUGAAAAUAACACACACAGAAACACAAAGUUCGUGUUCAGAUGGACGAAAAUAUACAAAAUGGCACAAUUUGCUUUGAGAGUGCGAGCUAUAUAAAUGAAGAAUAUCUUUGUCUUUUCGCUAAUUUUUCUGAUACCUGUCUUAUUCUUAUAGCAAAUCAGCUAGAAGUUUAAGUUCACUUCCUGCACAGUGCUUAAGUUGUUAAAAACUUGCUUCGUUUUGAUACUACUGAUAGUUUAUCGGGAAUUCAGACUCAAUCUUGGUGGGCGUCAAAAAAGAACAGAACAGCAAAAAAAAUAAUUUGCCUUCCUCUUUUUUGACAGUAAGAAUGCAACGUCUGUGAUGCGAAAGAGCCUUUGGAUGUUUGUACGACUUGAAAGAAGAAAGUUGGAAAAUUCUGGAAAAAUAAGGGCAAGAAAAAAAUAUAACAACAGCCUUACCUUGAGAUACAGUACUUCUUAUGUUUGAUGAUACGGUUGCAAACAGUAAAACUAACUGCCAACUCCAAUGAAAGAGAGGCAUCUUCGAUUCCGUCAACUUUGCUUCUUGUUCGCACGAGGGAUAAUGUGAGCUUCUGUAGUGCUAAGCGUUCUUCUAAUUUUGCCGAUGUUGGUUACAUUUCUUGCCUCUUAGCUUAGCGGCGCGGUUGCGAAGCUGUUACGAAACUGCACUCCACGCCCUAAAGUGCUAUGACGUCACGAUAUUUCAUAUCAGAGCAACGAAAUGAAGACUAGUCUCUCAUUCAUGGCGCUAGUUGCUGUUUGCAAUACUUGGUUGCAAUAUUUGGUGGAUCAAGCAGUGUUGUUACUUUUCAUCUGAGCUUCGUCACGCAGGUUCAAGUUGAAGAGACCCGUGGGAAAGUUUUCGCCGGCCAUCUUCAAAUGAGAAACGUGCAGUCUGCUUGAGGGCAAAUUUCACGGACAAUUGGGCUUGAGUACUUUCAGAAGCCUAAUAACGCGGAAACAUUUGAAAGAAGGUUGUAGACAAAGCCAACAUAUUUCGACAAUAAAUUGAAGGCAAACAAU